Molecule: ribosomal RNA, 836 nt
Filed under: Acrogenospora thailandica
Lineage: Eukaryota; Fungi; Ascomycota; Dothideomycetes; Minutisphaerales; Acrogenosporaceae
Description: LSU rRNA
Rfam family: Eukaryotic large subunit ribosomal RNA
Source: RNAcentral
UCAGUAACGGCGAGUGAAGCGGCAACAGCUCAAAUUUGAAAUCUGGCUCCCUUUGGGGCCCGAGUUGUAAUUUGGAGAGGAUGCUUCGGCUGCGGCCCUGGUCUAAGUUCCUUGGAACAGGACGUCACAGAGGGUGAGAACCCCGUAUGUGGUCAGGUGCCAACGCCAUGUGAAGCUCCUUCGACGAGUCGAGUUGUUUGGGAAUGCAGCUCUAAAUGGGAGGUAUAUUUCUUCUAAAGCUAAAUACCGGCGAGAGACCGAUAGCGCACAAGUAGAGUGAUCGAAAGAUGAAAAGCACUUUGGAAAGAGAGUUAAAAAGUACGUGAAAUUGUUGAAAGGGAAGCGCUUGCGACCAGAUUUGCGCGCGGUUGUUUAGCCGGGCUUCCUGCCCGGUGCACUCUUCCGUGCGCAGGCCAGCAUCGGUUUGGGCGGCCAGAUAAAGGCCGUGGGAAUGUAGCUCCUCUCGGGGAGUGUUAUAGCCCAUGGUGGAAUGUGGCCAGCCUAGACCGAGGUCCGCGCUCCGGCUAGGAUGCUGGCGUAAUGGUCGUAAGCGGCCCGUCUUGAAACACGGACCAAGGAGUCUAACAUCUAUGCGAGUGUUUGGGUGCGAAACCCAUGCGCGUAAUGAAAGUGAACGGAGGUGGGAGCCCUCGCGGGCGCACCAUCGACCGAUCCUGAUGUCUUCGGAUGGAUUUGAGUAUGAGCAUGGCUGUUGGGACCCGAAAGAUAGUGAACUAAGCCUGAAUAGGGUGAAGCCAGAGGAAACUCUGGUGGAGGCUCGCAGCGGUUCUGACGUGCAAAUCGAUCGUCAAAUUUGGGCUUAGGGGCGAAAGACU